GCAAAUACCAAAAGCUGUCCUCAUUGAGUCAUCCCUCCCAGAGCAGGAAGAGCAGAGGUUCUGGGAAACAACCCCAAGGAGAGAGACAGGGCAUUUAUAAAACAGCAUGUAAGCAUCUCUGCAGUUGCUGUCCCCAGAGCCCACUUCCUGGAUAUUGCCAGCUGCCUGGACCAACCUUUCCGAAAGAUCAGCCAGGUCACAGUGAGGGUCAAAGGUGAGGCAACACCCGGCCUGCUUCAGCUUGCCCCCCGUGGGCUGCACCCACUGUCCAACCAGUCCCAAUGAGAUGAACCAGAACAUUGGCAAGCACGUUGAUAGAGUGCCCACAUUGUACUGAACUCUGAGGGGAAUAGUCUCGUCCCCAUCACUCAGGUGGGGAAACUGAGGAGGCCACUGGAGGCUCCAAGGGCUCUGAAAUGUUGAGAACUUCCCUGCAGGUACCAGCGAAGAGGGCAAGAACACAGCACUACUUCCUUGGAUACUGUUUCCCUCCUCAGAGGGGUUUUCUGAGCUGCCCUGGGUCCUGUGAGGAAGAUCUCCCCUUCCUGUAAAGACACCAGUCCUACUGGAUCAGGGCCCACCCGUGUGACUUCACUUUUACUUGAGUACCUCUCACAGACCCUAACUCCAAAUCAGGUCACUUGCUGAGGUACUGCAUGUGAAGACUUUGACAUUUGAAUUUUGAGGGGGCCACCGUUUAACCUGAACCACCAAGGACAGAGCCAAAGACCCUGGGUGACAGGCCCAGAACAGGACCUGGUGGAGGCUCUUCUUUAGGGGAGAGAGGGAAAUGGGAGCCACCACUGGCAGAGCCUGAAGGCAGGGCAGCCAGAAAGAAGCUGUGGGAGUCCCCACCAUGGAAGACCCUGCCGAGCAUCCUGUGUCUCCUGAAGCAGACCCUGACAUGAGGACUGGGGGCACGUGUUUAUUAAGGGCGAUCCCCGGAAGGAGGAGAUAACCAGGCAGAAGUCCUAGCAGAGUAUGCCCACGCUGGUUAGUGCUGCUGCAAAGAUGAGCCGAAGACCAUGAGAGACCUCCAGGUGGUCCUUCUGGGGAGAAGAAAUGGGUUUUGGCCCCAAAUCCUUCUGCUGCAUUUUUCCCCUAUCCCUGGGAAGCCAUGAGACCUCAAACCUGUGUUCCCAAGGAGGCGAGCUGCUGUUCCCAGGUGAUGAUAUGAUGUGCUUGGGGAAAGUAAGUGGCUGCCAGACAUGGCUGAGAGCUGUUGUCACUGCCGUCAAGUGCAUGUCUCCAAGCCAUAUCACACGGCGUCCCUCGAUGUGAGGCCACAUGGCAAGUGGGCCGUGGAUCUCCCUCUGCCCUUUGCAAGCACGUAAGACAGCAGAUUUUGCAGAUACCUUGUGGCGCAGGGGAAUUUCCUUUGGCCAGGUCUGAAGAAAUAAAGCAGCAGGCACCGAGAACAAAGCCAAGGCUUUCAAAAGACAAGGAGCCAAAAAACUUACUCAAAAUAAAAGUAGUUUUAAAAUGU
Long non-coding RNA from Homo sapiens (human), 1486 nucleotides. The record is from Ensembl. Lineage: Eukaryota; Metazoa; Chordata; Mammalia; Primates; Hominidae.